This 72-nucleotide transfer RNA is filed under the name Candidatus Pacearchaeota archaeon RBG_13_36_9. RNAcentral's name for it is "tRNA-Gly". It matches the Rfam family "tRNA". Rfam says of the family: Transfer RNA (tRNA) molecules are approximately 80 nucleotides in length. Their secondary structure includes four short double-helical elements and three loops (D, anti-codon, and T loops). The record is from RNAcentral. Lineage: Archaea; Nanobdellati.
GCGAAGAUAGUUUAGUGGUUAGAAUACCUCGUUGCCAACGAGGUGACCCGGGUUCAAAUCCCGGUCUCCGCA